AAUAGAUACCCGGGUAGUCCACCCCGUAAACGUUGGGAACUAGUUGUGGGGUCCUUUCCACGGAUUCCGUGACGCAGCUAACGCAUUAAGUUCCCCGCCUGGGGAGUACGGCCGCAAGGCUAAAACUCAAAGGAAUUGACGGGGACCCGCACAAGCGGCGGAGCAUGCGGAUUAAUUCGAUGCAACGCGAAGAACCUUACCAAGGCUUGACAUACACCGGAAACGGCCAGAGAUGGUCGCCCCGCAAGGUCGGUGUACAGGUGGUGCAUGGUUGUCGUCAGCUCGUGUCGUGAGAUGUUGGGUUAAGUCCCGCAACGAGCGCAACCCUCGUUCUAUGUUGCCAGCACGUAAUGGUGGGAACUCAUGGGAUACUGCCGGGGUCAACCCGGAGGAAGGUGGGGAUGACGUCAAAUCAUCAUGCCCCUUAUGUCUUGGGCUUCACGCAUGCUACAAUGGCCGGUACAAAGGGCUGCAAUACCGUGAGGUGAGCGAAUCCCAAAAGCCGGUCCCAGUUCGGAUUGAGGUCUGCAACUCGACCUCA
Molecule: ribosomal RNA, 541 nt
Filed under: uncultured bacterium
Lineage: Bacteria
Description: bacterial SSU rRNA
Rfam family: Bacterial small subunit ribosomal RNA
Source: RNAcentral